This 74-nucleotide transfer RNA is filed under the name Caudoviricetes sp. RNAcentral describes it as "tRNA-Gly". It matches the Rfam family "tRNA". From Rfam's summary of the family: Transfer RNA (tRNA) molecules are approximately 80 nucleotides in length. Their secondary structure includes four short double-helical elements and three loops (D, anti-codon, and T loops). The record is from RNAcentral. Lineage: Duplodnaviria; Heunggongvirae; Uroviricota; Caudoviricetes.
GCGGGUAUAGCACAACGGCUAGUGCGUCUGCCUUCCAAGCAGAGGAUGUGGGUUCGAUUCCCAUUACCCGCUCA